Molecule: unclassified non-coding RNA, 337 nt
Filed under: soil metagenome
Description: partial contains 5.8S ribosomal RNA, internal transcribed spacer 2, and large subunit ribosomal RNA
Rfam family: 5.8S ribosomal RNA (bases 1-120)
Source: RNAcentral
GAUGAAGAACGUAGCGAAAUGCGAUAAGUAAUGUGAAUUGCAGAAUUCAGUGAAUCAUCGAAUCUUUGAACGCACAUUGCGCCCGCCAGUAUUCUGGCGGGCAUGCCUGUUCGAGCGUCAUUUCAACCAUCAAGCCCCAGGCUUGUGUUGGGGACCUGCGGCUGCCGCAGGCCCUGAAAACCAGUGGCGGGCUCGCUGUCACACCGGGCGUAGUAGAUUUUAUCUCGCUCAGGGCGUGCUGCGGGUUCCGGCCGUUAAAAAGCCUUUUUUACCCAAGGUUGACCUCGGAUCAGGUAGGAAGACCCGCUGAACUUAAGCAUAUCAAUAAAGCGGAGGA